RNAcentral lists this long non-coding RNA (709 nucleotides) under Sorghum bicolor (sorghum). Its description in RNAcentral is "long non-coding RNA (SBIC_LNC008621)". Lineage: Eukaryota; Viridiplantae; Streptophyta; Magnoliopsida; Poales; Poaceae. The record is from RNAcentral.
GUGGUACAUAUCUUUAUUUACUUUUUCGAGGUAAUGUACAAAUGAUUUUACAGAACUUAAGGGUAGAAGUAACGUAGCUGCUCUGUGUUCCACGCGUUGUUGUAGACCUCCCCUUCCUCGUUGGCGAGCAUGUAUGUGCCGGGUCGGAGGACUUCGGCGAUGACGAAGGGUCCUUCCCAAGGAGGCAUGAGCUGGUGGCGGCCUUUGUUGCUCUGUCUGAGCCUCAGCACCAAAUCGCCGACUCUGAAGGCUCAGCCUCGAUGACCAAAUCGCCGACUCUGAAGGCUCAGCCUCGGACUCAUCGAGCGUGGUAGCACCGAAGGGCCUACUGGUACUUAGCCGAGUGUAGGAAGCUACAUCCCUAGCUUCGUCCAGAUGGUCCAGCGCAUCUUCUCGUAAACUUUUAGAAUUUUGAAAACAUCUAAACAAGACCCAAGUUUGCUUUUUCUUUGUUCUAAAAAAAGUCAUUGCUCGCCCAGCGCUUCAUGUUUAGCUCGCUGGAAGAGAAGCCAGAGGAAGGGGAGCGACUACCGGCCUUAUGGGCACAGACCUCACCUCAUCGAUUAUCACUAUUAGUUGUCAUCGCCAGGCUAGACAAGCCUGGAUCAUUCAUGCCUGACUUGCUCAACAAACAGGACUUUCUUACCGCGUCAGGUUGGUCAGGAAAAAAAACUUCGAAUCGACAAAUGGUAAACAAACACGAGGCUCA